GGGGCAGCAGUGGGGCGCUGGUGCCCUGCGUGGAGCGCUCGUUGUCCAUCUCCCGCGUGCCGUUGCCCCACAGCCGCAGCAGCAGCAGCACCGCCGACAGCAGCUGGCUGGAGGACGGUGGGACCCAGAGGAAGCGAGUACUGUCUAUUGGACCACAGUGACAGCUGGACCGCUGGCCACAUGAGUAUGACUACAACAGCGUGUUCUCCUGUCCUGAUUGGUUCGGAUAAGAGCCAUGCGAUGUCACUCGCCAUGUAUUAGUGUGACAACACAAUGUGGGCGUAUCUAUGUAGCAUCGGGCAGCAAGAGGUCACAUCACCACGCGGGAUUGGACACUCGACUCCAGUUGUGAUGUCACAAAAGCGGACGAUUUUGAAACGGCUUAUAAUGGCUCACAUCCGAAAUAGUGAAACAGGGCCCCUUUACGCAGCAGGGUAGAACGGAGCCCUACCUGAGGGUCCCCCUCUGUACAGCCAGCUCCAGGAGUAUAGCCAAAGCAAGGUGCUGGUCCUGCAGGGGAAUGUUGCCUUUGGCACUGGCACUUCC
Long non-coding RNA from Gadus macrocephalus (Pacific cod), 546 nucleotides. RefSeq lists it as uncharacterized. Lineage: Eukaryota; Metazoa; Chordata; Actinopteri; Gadiformes; Gadidae. The record is from RefSeq and is a predicted model, not a curated record. The transcript has 3 exons.